RNAcentral lists this ribosomal RNA (253 nucleotides) under uncultured bacterium. Its description in RNAcentral is "partial 16S ribosomal RNA". It matches the Rfam family "Bacterial small subunit ribosomal RNA", at positions 524 to 776 of the family's 1533-position model. The record is from RNAcentral.
UACAGAGGGUGCAAGCGUUAAUCGGAAUUACUGGGCGUAAAGGGUGCGUAGGCGGUUAUGUAAGUUAGAUGUGAAAUCCCCGGGCUUAACCUGGGAACUGCAUUUAAUACUGUAUAGCUAGAGUAGAGUAGAGGGGAGUGGAAUUUCCGGUGUAGCGGUGAAAUGCGUAGAUAUCGGAAAGAACACCAGUGGCGAAGGCGGCUCCCUGGACUCAUACUGACGUUGAGGCACGAAAGCAUGGGUAGCAAACAGG